AACGCACAUUGCGCCCUUUGGUAUUCCGAAGGGCAUGCCUGUUCGAGCGUCAUUAUCACCCCUCAAGCCCCCUGGCUUGGUGUUGGACGGCUUGGUUGACCGCUAACGUCGACCCCUCCUAAAGACAAUGACGGCGCCCCGCGGCACCCCCGGUACACUGAGCUUUUCAUCGAGCAUGUGUCGGACAAGGGUCCCCGGGACACGGCCUCUCUCUUUCCCACGCGUCGCGGGAAAAAGUUUUCUGAAAGGUUGACCUCGGAUCAGGUAGGAAUACGCGCUGAACUUAA
Molecule: unclassified non-coding RNA, 287 nt
Filed under: uncultured fungus
Lineage: Eukaryota; Fungi
Description: partial contains 5.8S ribosomal RNA, internal transcribed spacer 2, and large subunit ribosomal RNA
Rfam family: 5.8S ribosomal RNA (bases 1-52)
Source: RNAcentral